UACAGAGGUCCCAAGCGUUGUUCGGAUUCACUGGGCGUAAAGGGUGCGUAGGCGGUCGGGUAAGUCUGAUGUGAAAUCUCACAGCUUAACUGUGAAACUGCAUUGGAUACUAUCCGGCCUGAGAGUUGGAGGGGGGACUGGAAUUCUUGGUGUAGCAGUGAAAUGCGUAGAUAUCAAGAGGAACACCAGUGGCGAAGGCGAGUCCCUGGACAACUUCUGACGCUGAGGCACGAAAGCUAGGGGAGCAAACAGG
RNAcentral lists this ribosomal RNA (253 nucleotides) under uncultured bacterium. RNAcentral's name for it is "partial 16S ribosomal RNA". It matches the Rfam family "Bacterial small subunit ribosomal RNA", at positions 524 to 776 of the family's 1533-position model. The record is from RNAcentral.